Triticum dicoccoides is the source of this 1650-nucleotide long non-coding RNA. RefSeq lists it as uncharacterized. The record is from RefSeq and is a predicted model, not a curated record. NCBI's taxonomy places the organism in Eukaryota, Viridiplantae, Streptophyta, Magnoliopsida, Poales, Poaceae. The transcript is spliced from 9 exons.
CGGUUAACCUACGAAGAAAGACCUACGCCCCGACCGCUGCCCGCGGGUCGCCCGCUCCCUCGCGCCCCUGUUGCUCCCUCCUCGAUCCCGAUCUGGAUCGAGGGGACGAGGAGCUCCUGCCUCCCCGACGGCCGGCCUCCUCCUCGCCCCGCUGCUGCGUCCGGCGCCGCCACGGCCUCUGGAGCCAGGGAAGCCAUGGCCUGAGCUCGGCCUCGAGGUCCCCGCCGCCGUCUCCUGCAGCUUCUGCCCCGCCGCCUCACCGCCCGAGCUCGCCGUCGCACCAACCUCGGCGCCGCGCCGCCGCCGGCUCUGGUCGCCUCCACCUCCGCUCCAGUGCUUAAGGAUGGAGGAGAACGGCCUGAAGUUCGUGCUCGAUCUGGUGGUCAGGUUCCCACUUCGGCAAGAGUUUGCCGAUGACCUUAAGCACUCCGAUCCAGUGCCGCUAAGGCUGCCACCCAGGGGGAGGCUGGCGCUCUUGGCACGGAGGAUUCAAUUGGUGAAUUUGGCUGCGCCCUGAGGUUAAUCGGGAGGCACCUGGAUGGACGAAAAGGCAAAGCCUAAGGCCGAGAAUAGCCGAUCAUGCAUGUACGAGUGUCCCGCGCUGAUCAGGGAGAAGGUUCAUUGGCACAUAGACUUCUGUGUUAACAGGGCGACAACGUCAAGGAUGGCAUCUGCGAGAACUCUUUUGUGUUAGAUAAAUUGAUGAUUAUGUCUGGAUCUCCAGGGGCAGACACUAUCAUACUGAAGCUCUGCCGGACCACGACUGUCAACAGGAUCACCGUAUUCUUUGAGGAACACAAACAAUCCAUUUAUGCAUUGCUAACUUUUCUGAACUUUUACAUGCUUCAGGCUCACUCCUUGACAACACUUAGCUAUCAUAAGGAUGAGGACGGAGCACAACUCUCUCAAUUCCCAAAAUGAGGAUCCAAAUGAACUUGGUUACGUACUAAAUUAUUGUUGAGGAUCUCAGGUAAUCGUUGCAGUUGAAGAUUACGCCCCUGAUCAUCAUUCUCAUUUUCAAACUUGCCAUUUAUCAGAGGAUUUGGAUGGGGUGCAUUCAUGCAUUAUAUUGGAGCAAGGACCUGCCGAGGAGGGGGAUACCAUGGGGAGGCGAACCUGGUAAAAUAGGGGUGGAAAGUAUACUAUAGGAAAGACUGUGGGGUUUGUGUAUCCUUAUCCAGGACAUUGUGAAGGCUUCUGAUGCAGUUUACAAGAAGCAAUUGGUGAGCUAAUUCAGAGAUAAGUGAAAUGAUAAUAAGAAGGUUAAAUAAUGUUGUUCAAUCUUUCCGUCAAGCAACCUGUUUGGCCCCAAAUGUCCGCACCGACGCGGUGACGCCCGUGGGCGCCACCGUUCCUUCCUGAAGGGCAUCGGGUGUUGCUUGGCAUGCGGAGGUUCAAGGUGCUAGGAGCGAGGUGGUAAAUCUCCGGUGGGCGCAGCGGUUGCGGGUCCUCAUCAUUUUCGUCGAUCCGACGCUGUCGACAUUAUUUUCUCUCUUCUUUCUCUUUUUUUUUUCGUUUGGGCGUGCUUGUGCUGUUUGCCCCAGCAUUGGACUCUUGGUUGUAUUGGGCUGUUGCUAUAUCUAUAUAGCGGGGCGAAAGCCUAUUUCGUAAGAUUCUUCCAUGAAUUCAACACUUGGCAAACCACUCCCA